GUCCACGCCGUAAACGAUGGGUGCUAGGUGUGGGGGGUGUCGACUCCCUCCGUGCCGAAGCUAACGCAUUAAGCACCCCGCCUGGGGAGUACGGCCGCAAGGCUAAAACUCAAAGGAAUUGACGGGGGCCCGCACAAGCAGCGGAGCAUGUGGUUUAAUUCGACGCAACGCGAAGAACCUUACCUAGGCUUGACAUGCAUAAGAAUGGCGUGGAAACACGUCAGCCUUUCGGGGCUUAUGUACAGGUGUUGCAUGGCUGUCGU
Molecule: ribosomal RNA, 263 nt
Filed under: uncultured bacterium
Lineage: Bacteria
Description: partial 16S ribosomal RNA
Rfam family: Bacterial small subunit ribosomal RNA
Source: RNAcentral